This 255-nucleotide ribosomal RNA is filed under the name uncultured bacterium. Its description in RNAcentral is "partial 16S ribosomal RNA". It matches the Rfam family "Bacterial small subunit ribosomal RNA", at positions 99 to 354 of the family's 1533-position model. The record is from RNAcentral.
CGGACGGGUGAGUAACGCGUGGAAAACCUGCCGUAUACUGGGGGAUAACACUUAGAAAUAGGUGCUAAUACCGCAUAAGCGCACAGCUUCGCAUGAAGCGGUGUGAAAAACUCUGGUGGUAUACGAUGGUUCCGCGUCUGAUUAGCUAGUUGGUGGGGUAAUGGCCUACCAAGGCAACGAUCAGUAGCCGGCCUGAGAGGGUGAACGGCCACACUGGUACUGAGACACGGACCAGACUCCUACGGAAGGCAGCAG